UACGAAGGGGGCAAGCGUUGUUCGGAAUUACUGGGCGUAAAGCGCACGUAGGCGGAUUGCUAAGUCAGGGGUGAAAUCCUGGAGCUCAACUCCAGAACUGCCUUUGAUACUGGCGAUCUUGAGUCCGGGAGAGGUGAGUGGAACUGCGAGUGUAGAGGUGAAAUUCGUAGAUAUUCGCAAGAACACCAGUGGCGAAGGCGGCUCACUGGCCCGGUACUGACGCUGAGGUGCGAAAGCGUGGGGAGCAAACAGG
RNAcentral lists this ribosomal RNA (253 nucleotides) under uncultured bacterium. Its description in RNAcentral is "partial 16S ribosomal RNA". It matches the Rfam family "Bacterial small subunit ribosomal RNA", at positions 524 to 776 of the family's 1533-position model. The record is from RNAcentral.